This is a long non-coding RNA of Suricata suricatta (meerkat), 339 nucleotides long. RefSeq lists it as uncharacterized. The record is from RefSeq and is a predicted model, not a curated record. Lineage: Eukaryota; Metazoa; Chordata; Mammalia; Carnivora; Herpestidae. The transcript has 2 exons.
UGUGGUCCAGGGAUGCCUGCUAGAGCACCUUGUAGGGAUUACAGGCUCCAGGAAGCAACAAAGGGGAAAGAACUAAGGGUGCACUCGCGGAUUCCUCCGAUUUCCUGGCAGGUCUCAUCCGGAAGUUCUACUUUCAUUUCGCUUCCUUGGCAGUGAUUAUGCAUCACAGACAUACUCAGCUUCAAGAAACGCCAGGAGAGGAAUGAGAACAUGCACUCGCCAAGCCUGGUGUGUGGAGUGAAUGCCAUUCUCUACAUGAAAGCAUAUAGUAUGUGGUACACGUCCAAAAUGUAUUAGAAAUAAUAAUAAAAAUAAAUAAAAAUGUAAAAACCAGAAAAA